CGAUUCGGGGAGGUAGUGACAAUAAAUAACGUUGCAGGUGCCUUUGGCCUCUGCAGUCGGAAUGAGUACAAUACAACACCCUUAACGAGGAACAAUUGGAGGGCAAGUCUGGUGCCAGCAGCCGCGGUAAUUCCAGCUCCAAUAGCGUAUAUUAAAAUUGCUGCAGUUAAAAAGCUCGUAGUUGAACUUCGGAACCGGUCGAUUGGUCCGUCCUCUGGAUUGUGUACUGAUCGAUCUGUUCUUCUUCGCGAAGACCGCGUGUGCCCUUAACUGGGUGUGCACGGGAUUCACGACGUUUACUUUGAAAAAAUUAGAGUGUUCAAAGCAGGCAUUCGCUUGAAUAUCUCAGCAUGGAAUAAUAGAAUAGGACUUUGGUCUUAUUUUGUUGGUUUCCGAGACCGAAGUAAUGAUUAAUAGGGACAGUUGGGGGCAUUCGUAUUUCAUUGUCAGAGGUGAAAUUCUUGGAUUUAUGAAAGACGAACUUCUGCGAAAGCAUUUGCCAAGGAUGUUUUCAUUAAUCAAGAACGAAAGUUGGAGGCUCGAAGACGAUCAGAUACCGUCCUAGUUCCAACCAUAAACGAUGCCGUCUGCGGAUCAGCGGUCGCUCAUUUAAGGCUCCGUUGGCACGCUAUGAGAAAUCAAAGACUUCGGGUUCCGGGGGGAGUAUGUUCGCAAGAAUGAAACUUAAAGGAAUUGACGGAAGGGCACCACCAGGAGUGGAACCUG
This 726-nucleotide ribosomal RNA is filed under the name uncultured marine eukaryote. RNAcentral describes it as "SSU rRNA". It matches the Rfam family "Eukaryotic small subunit ribosomal RNA", at positions 452 to 1185 of the family's 1831-position model. The record is from RNAcentral.